AUUUCACCUUCAGUAUACUGCUGGAGGGCCAGAACAAGGAGUUAAUGAGAACAGCAUCUAUGAGGCGUGCCAUGACUGUUGGGUGGAGCAGAGAGGGCAGUUUUUGCCAUAAAAAAAUACAACAGCUGGUUGGGCAUGGUGGCUCAUGCUUGUAAUCCCAGCACUUACGGAGGCCGAGGAGGGCGGAUCACCCAAGGUCAGGAGUUCGAGACCAGCCUGGCCAACAUAGUAAAACCCCGUCUCUACUAAAAAUACAAAAAUUAACCGUGUUUGGUGGCACUCACCUAUAGUCACAGCAACUCAGGAGGCUGAGGCAGCAGAACUGCUUGAACCCGGCAGGCGGAGGUUGCAAGUGAGUCGAGUCGCGCCACUGCACUCUAGCCUGGCCAGCAGAGCGAGACUCCCUCUCCAAAAAAU
RNAcentral lists this long non-coding RNA (417 nucleotides) under Homo sapiens (human). Its description in RNAcentral is "non-protein coding lnc-EFNB2-2:1". Lineage: Eukaryota; Metazoa; Chordata; Mammalia; Primates; Hominidae. The record is from RNAcentral.